GAUAUCAACUGAAAAAGUCAUCAACAACAAAGUUAGAAUAACUCAUCAAGAUCUAAAACUUUUAUUUUGGUCAUUUCUUCAUACGACAAAGUGAUAGUAACAUUGUUCACAAAAUUGACAUAUCUCUUAUCUGGUUUUAUAAACUAUAACACAUAUAUGUAAAUUUUGUGAAUAAUAUUACUAACAUUUCGUCGGAUGAAGAAAUAACAAAAAUAAAAGUUUUAGAUCUUGAUGAGUUAUUCAACUUUGUUGUUGAUGACUUUUUCAAUUGAAAUC
MicroRNA precursor from Oryza sativa Indica Group (long-grained rice), 276 nucleotides. It matches the Rfam family "MIR821 microRNA precursor family". Lineage: Eukaryota; Viridiplantae; Streptophyta; Magnoliopsida; Poales; Poaceae. The record is from Rfam.